This 253-nucleotide ribosomal RNA is filed under the name uncultured bacterium. Its description in RNAcentral is "partial 16S ribosomal RNA". It matches the Rfam family "Bacterial small subunit ribosomal RNA", at positions 524 to 776 of the family's 1533-position model. The record is from RNAcentral.
UACAGAGGUCCCAAGCGUUGUUCGGAUUCAUUGGGCGUAAAGGGUGUGUAGGUGGCGCCGUAAGUCGGGUGUGAAAUCUCGGGGCUUAACUCCGAAACUGCAUUCGAUACUGCGGUGCUUGAGGACUGGAGAGGAGACUGGAAUUCAUGGUGUAGCAGUGAAAUGCGUAGAGAUCAUGAGGAAGACCAGUGGCGGAGGCGGGUCUCUGGACAGUUCCUGACACUGAGACACGAAGGCCAGGGGAGCAAACGGG